GUCUGUGUAGAUUAUGAAGAUCAUAGUGCUGUUAACCCUAAGGAGGAGGUUGAUUGCCCCCACAGGCG
This 68-nucleotide transfer RNA is filed under the name Caryophyllaeus brachycollis. RNAcentral's name for it is "tRNA-Asn". The record is from RNAcentral. Lineage: Eukaryota; Metazoa; Platyhelminthes; Cestoda; Caryophyllidea; Caryophyllaeidae.